UUCCGCUGUCAAUGAAAUCGUCUUUUGUAUUGUUGUUCCAAACUGCAACACUUAUCUCUCUAAGGCCUUCAAUUAACGAAAACACAAACUUUUCUUGGAAUACUGGAGUAUUAUGACUAUCUAUACACACACACAAAAAAAACGAAAUUAGCAUAACUCACUAUAACUCUAUAGAAGCCUCAAAAAUAUAAAGAGAAAUUAAAGGGGUUGAAUUUGAUAUUUACGUUUGGAGAGAGAGAGUUUGCAGAAACUGUGGUUUUAUAUUUCUUAACUUGAGAGAGGGGUAAGGUUGCUAGGGUUUUGAGGGUAAGGUUGCUAGGGUUUUGAGGUGUUAUAAUGUUUUUAUUUUUAUUUUUAUUUUUUAUUUUUUAAAUAUUGUGCUGACGUGGAAAAUUGUGGUGUCAGCAGAGGCUUCGGUUUUAUAUAUAUAUAUAUAUAGAU
Long non-coding RNA from Quercus robur (English oak), 441 nucleotides. RefSeq lists it as uncharacterized. The record is from RefSeq and is a predicted model, not a curated record. NCBI's taxonomy places the organism in Eukaryota, Viridiplantae, Streptophyta, Magnoliopsida, Fagales, Fagaceae. The transcript has 2 exons.